CCCCCCUAAAUUGAAGUUGGAUUUUUUCAUAUCCCUCGUUGAAACACUUUCCCCCUUACCAUUCGUCUCCUCAAUCCCUUUCUUGUUUCUCGUCACUUUGCAGCCUGAGUGUUUUAUCUCACAAACAACCAUAAUGGAAUUUCACCACCAGGUCCUAUCAAGCUGCUCUCACAGGAGCUCAAGGUGGGUCUGAAACGGUGUUGGUGGCUUGAGAGCUUAGGAAGCAGUGCAGUCAGAAAGCAUUCUAUGGACUGAAAUUUAUUGGCAGUGAAUCCAAUGGCCUUGUUGUCUGGAUCAAGAGAUCUAUUCAGCCUCUUUGGAUGCCCGUCGGAACCUGCAACGUGUCUCCCGUCUCAUGUCUUAAAGAUUUAUGUUCUUUUUGGAGCAAUCUUUAAAGAUUUAUGUCCACUAAUUUAUUAUUACAAGUAUCUUCUUUGAUCUUAGUUGCAUGUAUUUAGUUACAAUUCUUGAGCAUUCUCUUCUUUCACUUUACAUCAUAGCAUUUUUUUAAUAACAAUUCUAAGUAGAAAGCAUUUUAAGGAUUUAUCAUGUUUGAAUUGAUGGUAUUUUAUCCUUUUGUUUCCUUAUGUUUGGUUGCUAUACGGGGGAGUUAUAAGGCAUUUGCUAUAUUUAUGAAGUUUAAGAUAGUUAAUUA
Long non-coding RNA from Glycine soja, 655 nucleotides. RefSeq lists it as uncharacterized. The record is from RefSeq and is a predicted model, not a curated record. Lineage: Eukaryota; Viridiplantae; Streptophyta; Magnoliopsida; Fabales; Fabaceae. The transcript is spliced from 4 exons.